CUCCUCUCAGGGUCGCACCUAGAGUUUCCAGUCCUCUACCAGUCUCGACUAUGGGAGGGAGAGUCAAGCAGAGGCAUACCCAUUCCAUUCCCAGUUUGGGCAGUGACUAGCGAGUGGAAGGAAAUCUGCUACAAGU
Small nucleolar RNA from Tachyglossus aculeatus (Australian echidna), 136 nucleotides. Lineage: Eukaryota; Metazoa; Chordata; Mammalia; Monotremata; Tachyglossidae. The record is from RefSeq and is a predicted model, not a curated record.